GGCAACGUGACGGAGUGGUUAACGUGCUGCCCUCGAAAGGCAGUUCCUUCGGGAGCACAGGUUCGAAUCCUGUCGUUGUCG
Non-coding RNA from Coniochaeta pulveracea, 81 nucleotides. NCBI's taxonomy places the organism in Eukaryota, Fungi, Ascomycota, Sordariomycetes, Coniochaetales, Coniochaetaceae. The record is from the annotation of a GenBank genome assembly.